CAACAACAAAAAUGGCUAUGGCAGUGACAACUGACAACUGACAAGUUUUCUGUAUGAAUUUGUUCAAUAUUUUAGUGUUAAUGCAUUGUACAAUUUUUGAUUAAAAUUGAACAAAUUAACAAGUACGUGUAAAGAUGAAUGAUAUAACAAUUACAACUGUCGAAUAAAAUCAUCUGAUACCUUUCAACUUUUCCAAAAAAUAAAAAUGUCUGAGGGAAGAUUUCCAUCUUAUCAUCAUUUACCCCCAGCGGCCCCAGCACCUCAAAGACAUCAUCUGGCAACUGCUGCAACACCUUCUGUUCCUCAUCCACUUACAUUCCAUCCUCCUGCAAUUUCUCAUCGGCUAUCUUCGUGGUUUACUAAACAAGAUAUGGCCGCUUACAGAAAUACACCAUAUGCUUCUUUGCACAAUAUUGCUGCAUUACAGAUGCACAAACCCCAACAUACUCCUGUAAUUGAUAGGUGGAUGGAUUCAAGAAAUAAUAUGCCGCCACCAUCUAGACCUGAUCCACCAUCUCCUAGUCCAGCUCAUUCCGCGAAUGUAUCACCUAGUUUUUCACUAUCUCGAACUGUUGAGAUUGAUCUUACUAAACAUAAAAAAGAAUCUGAGCAAAUGUCUAUUGACUUGUCUUCAAAUAAUAAAAAUUAUGAAAGCUUUUCUUUUAAACGAGCAAGAGAUCAAGUAAAUGGUCAAAUAAAUUUAUCUAAAAUAGGAAAUAUUGAAGAGAAGGCAAUAAGUGUUAUAGCACCAAACCCUCAUAAAGUUAUUAAGUCUGAAAUCAGAUGUGAUGCCCCAGAUUAUAUACAUAUUCAAAAAGUAAAAAAUGUUAAUAAUGAAGGUUAUGAAAACAAAUGUAGUAAAAAUGAUAUUAAGAUUACUUGGGAUGUGGUAGAUAGUCCUAUAAAAAUUGAAGUUGAAGAUACAAAUAAUGUUGAAAAAAUGUUGGAAAACAUAUUUCAAACUAAUGAGUCUGAAAAGCAAUCUGUUAUUAAAAUUAUAAAACCAAGAAAAUCACCAUCACCAUCAAUGAUGAGGGCAGAAUCUGUAGAAAAAAUACUUAAAUCACCAUCUCCUAUACCUAGAAUAGAACAUGAUAAAUCUGAGGAUUCUAUACCAUCUGAAAAUUCUUCAAAAAAAAUUCAUGACACACAUUCUCAAUUCCUCGAAGUAGAAAACAAAUUAGAAGAAUUAUUUGGUGGAGUCAUUACAUCAACUAGUAUACCUGAUCAACAAAUAGUGAUUGAUAAUAAAUUAAAACCAAUAAUUUCUACAAAAAGGCCUUAUAAUAAAAAUAAGAAACAAUUAAAAAAAGUAAAAAAAAGCCUACCCAUAUCUGAAAAAUUAAAACCGGCUGUUGAACAACCUUUUAAAAAAUAUAAAGGGCCAUUAAUAAGAGUCAAUGGUGGUAAUAUAGAAAAUCCAAGAAGUUUUGUUAUAAUUAACCGAAAUGUUCAAGAUGAUGAGGACUCAUUAGAUGGUCGAAAUAUUAAUCGAAAGACUUAUUCAUAUAAGUCUGGUGUUUGCAAUGGUGAAGAAAAACCCGAUGUGAGCAAUUUAGAAAGUAGUGAUUGGAAAUGUGUAUUCUGUUCGCGAGGACCUCACGUAAGAGACAUUGGUUAUGAUCCUACUGGAGAUCUUUUUGGUCCCUAUUAUGUCAGUAUACCAAAGGUUGUAAAACCAAAUGAUAACCCUAAGCGAAAGAAAUCUAAGCAUAAUUUAAAUGAUAAUGAUACUUCAGAAACAUUUAUUGAGGUAUGGACUCAUGAAAAUUGUUUAGUUUGGGCGUCUGGUGUUUAUAUGGUUGGGGAUAAAAUUGUUGGGUUGGAAGAUAGUGUGAGAAUUGCAAAAAAUACUAUCUGUGUUUAUUGUGGUGUUAUUGGGGCUAGUAUUGGAUGUACAGCACGUCACUGCAAAUCAAGUAUACAUUAUAACUGUGCAAUACAUGUUGGUUGGCUUCUAGAUAGCCAGAAUCAUAUGACUACAUGUAAUGUUCAUAGGAAUUCUCUCCUUGGAAGUAGUUGUCAUUAAUGGAGCUUUCUUGCUUCAUUCAUUAUUAUAUUCAAAAAAAUAGGCUUUCUGAGUUUUUUUAUUAUCGUAUAUAAUAUUGUAUUAUGGUUAGAAGAUCAUCAACCUUGUUAUGAACUUCCAAGAAUUGACCAUUAAUUUUAUAAAGUAAAGAAGAUGAACUAAUGAAAUCAUUGCAGUAAUCAACAAGAAAAUUUAUCUAACUAAAUAAUAUUUCAAUUAUGCCUAUUAUUUUAGAGCUGAAAGAAACAAAAUUGCUCUAUCAUAGACCAUAUACUGUGCCACAUUUUGGUGCAUAAACUAUAUAAGUACAUGAACAAAAUAAGUCGUGUCCAUGAAUAUAUUUUAAUCAAGUUUUGUAUGUAUUGUAUUAUUUUAUUGAUUUAUUUUUUACAUUAUUCUUCAUUGUUUUGAUUUUAUAUAACUGUAUACGUUAGGAGGAAAAUACAUAAUGGUAUUUGUCAAUAUUUUUACAGAUGAUAUUAUCUAUUAUAUACUAUUAUAAUUGCAGAUAUUAAGUUAGUAUUUAAAUUUCUUAAGAUAUUAUGAUCUAAAUAAAUAUCUGUUGGACUGUGAUGAUUGAUGAGUAAUAUACUUGGUCUUGAAUGUAAGAAUUAAGGCUGGGGUUUUGAUGUACUUUGCAUUAUUUUUUCCGAUUCUAGCUACACGAUGCUAAUUUUAUAACAUACAUAUUUAAUUUGUUUUUGAAUCAGAAUGAGAAGUUUUUAUUUUGCACUUUUUGACAAUUUUAAAUUUCAAGAUAAAUUUUUUUCAUUUUUAGAGCAUUUUAGGAUUUUUUAAGUAUUGAAAUCCAAAAUUUGAAUUUAAGAUUUUUACAUGCUUUUUUAAAAUUUUUAUACAAAUUUAACAAACUAACUACAUCCAAGUAAAUAAUUAUAUAAUUUGAACCUUUAAAAAAAAAAAAUUGUUUUUCCAAAUUAAAGAAGUCCAAAACGAUCAGUUAUAUCUCUUAUACUUUUUACAAUCCUUUAAAAUGUGUUUUGUUGUUCAAACCAAAAUUACUAAAAAAUAAAAAAAAUUGCAGUUUUCAAGUGCAUUAUUCAGAAUUUUCAUGGCAUUAUUUGGGUUUUUUAGGGCAUUAAAAUCCCAGCCCUAGUAAUAAUGAUAUUCGAAUAACAAUUUAAAAAAUGUCAGCUUGAAAUAGUAAAUUUUCAUUUUAUCAUUGAUAAAUAAUUACUUAAAUAACUUCAUUGAAAAGCAAGGUGAUUAGUUUUUACUUAAAAAAAUACUGUUAUAUUCUAAAAUGUUAUUGUAAUUUUAUAAAAUUAAAUAGUUUUAUUAGAUUCCUAAUUUUAUGUACCUACAUUAAUUACAGAAUAGAAUAAAAAUUAAAUAGUA
Molecule: unclassified non-coding RNA, 3385 nt
Filed under: Acyrthosiphon pisum (pea aphid)
Lineage: Eukaryota; Metazoa; Arthropoda; Insecta; Hemiptera; Aphididae
Description: uncharacterized LOC100168927, transcript variant X2
Source: RNAcentral